Molecule: ribosomal RNA, 465 nt
Filed under: uncultured bacterium
Lineage: Bacteria
Description: partial 16S ribosomal RNA
Rfam family: Bacterial small subunit ribosomal RNA
Source: RNAcentral
GACGAACGCUGGCGGCGUGCUUAACACAUGCAAGUCGAACGGAAAGGCCCCCUUGUGGGGUACUCGAGUGGCGAACGGGUGAGUAACACGUGAGUAACCUACCCUUGACUUUGGGAUAACUUCAGGAAACUGGGGCUAAUACCGGAUAGGAGCUCCUGCUGCAUGGUGGGGGUUGGAAAGUUUCGGCGGUUGGGGAUGGACUCGCGGCUUAUCAGCUUGUUGGUGGGGUAGUGGCUCACCAAGGCUUUGACGGGUAGCCGGCCUGAGAGGGUGACCGGCUACAUUGGGACUGAGAUACGGCCCAGACUCCUACGGGAGGCAGCAGUGGGGAAUAUUGCACAAUGGGCGGAAGCCUGAUGCAGCAACGCCGCGUGCGGGAUGACGGCCUUCGGGUUGUAAACCGCUUUCGCCUGUGACGAAGCGUGAGUGACGGUAAUGGGUAAAGAAGCACCGGCUAACUACGUG